UAAAGGAGGAAGUAAAGCUUCCUAGAAUAUAUAGGAGAAUCCAGCCCAGAGGAUUACCUCAUCCGAGCCAAUCUUGAUAAUCUGUUGCCCAGCAUUAAUAAAAAGAAAAGAAAAAUCCUCAUAUCAGCCUUAAAUUGCUAGCACACCAAGGACUGCAUGAAUCAUUAGCUCCAAGCACCAGACCAGUGUUCAGCCAAGGUACCUCAGGAUUCCUUCAUGAUGUAAGGAUUCCUACCCUAGGCAGAGCUUUUUCUCUCAGCUGCCCCCUUCGUGUGCAGAUUGGCGUCACAAAUAACGAGCACUUAUGCACGAAAGUAUUACAUCCACU
Molecule: long non-coding RNA, 328 nt
Organism: Meriones unguiculatus (Mongolian gerbil)
Lineage: Eukaryota; Metazoa; Chordata; Mammalia; Rodentia; Muridae
Exons: 3
Source: RefSeq, a predicted model, not a curated record